This 226-nucleotide long non-coding RNA is filed under the name Marmota monax (woodchuck). Lineage: Eukaryota; Metazoa; Chordata; Mammalia; Rodentia; Sciuridae. The record is from RNAcentral.
CAUAAGUCACUGACAUGGGAAUUCCAGGUUAUUUUUCUCCUGAGAAAUUUAAUUCAGUAGCAAUAUUACCAACUUGUGAUGAACACACUACUUGUGAAUGUUAUUAAAGUGCUUUUAAGAAUGCUUAAAUAAUUUUUCAACAUGGUAAAUUUCUAUACUUUAAAUUUAUGUCCAAUAUUAAUUUGCUUAGUGAUUAUUUUUUCACAUUUAGUCUUGACUUAGAGAU